RNAcentral lists this ribosomal RNA (743 nucleotides) under uncultured bacterium. RNAcentral describes it as "bacterial SSU rRNA". It matches the Rfam family "Bacterial small subunit ribosomal RNA", at positions 28 to 762 of the family's 1533-position model. The record is from RNAcentral.
AUUGAACGCUGGCGGCAUGCCUUACACAUGCAAGUCGAACGGCAGCACGGGGGGUAACCCCUGGUGGCGAGUGGCGAACGGGUGAGUAAUAUAUCGGAACGUGCCCUGUAGCGGGGGAUAACGCGUCGAAAGAUGUGCUAAUACCGCAUACGACCUACGGGUGAAAGCGGAGGACCGCAAGGCUUCGCACUAUAGGAGCGGCCGAUAUCGGAUUAGCUAGUUGGCGGGGUAACGGCCCACCAAGGCGACGAUCCGUAGCUGGUCUGAGAGGAUGAUCAGCCACACUGGAACUGAGACACGGUCCCAGACUCCUACGGGAGGCGGCAGUGGGGAAUUUUGGGACAAUGGGCGCAAGCCUGAUCCAGCCAUGCCGCGUGAGUGAAGAAGGCCUCGGGUUGUAAAGCUCUUUCGGCGGGACGAAACGGUCCGUGCCAAUACCACGGACUAAUGACGGUACCCGCAGAAGAAGCACCGGCUAACUACGUGCCAGCAGCCGCGGUAAUACGUAGGGUGCAGGCGUUAAUCGGAAUUACUGGGCGUAAAGCGUGCGCAGGCGGUCUGUUAAGACAGGUGUGAAAUCCCCGGGCUUAACCUGGGAACUGCGCUUGUAACUGGCAGACUUGAGUGUGGCAGAGGGGGGUUGGAAUUCCAAGUGUAGCAGUGAAAUGCGUAGAUAUUUGGAGGAACACCGAUGGCGAAGGCAGCCCCCGUGGGUUAACACUGACGCUCAUGCACGAAAGCGU